This 466-nucleotide ribosomal RNA is filed under the name uncultured bacterium. RNAcentral describes it as "partial 16S ribosomal RNA". It matches the Rfam family "Bacterial small subunit ribosomal RNA", at positions 29 to 506 of the family's 1533-position model. The record is from RNAcentral.
ACGAACGCUGGCGGCGUGCUUAACCCCUGCAAGUCGAACGGAAAGGCCCUGCUUUUGUGGGGUGCUCGAGUGGCGAACGGGUGAGUAACACGUGAGUAACCUGCCCUUGACUUUGGGAUAACUUCAGGAAACUGGGGCUAAUACCGGAUAGGAGCUCCUGCUGCAUGGUGGGGGUUGGAAAGUUUCGGCGGUUGGGGAUGGACUCGCGGCUUAUCAGCUUGUUGGUGGGGUAGUGGCUUACCAAGGCUUUGACGGGUAGCCGGCCUGAGAGGGUGACCGGCCACAUUGGGACUGAGAUACGGCCCAGACGCCUACGGGAGGCAGCAGUGGGGAAUAUUGCACAAUGGGCGGAAGCCUGAUGCAGCAACGCCGCGUGCGGGAUGACGGCCUUCGGGUUGUAAACCGCUUUCGCCUGUGACGAAGCGUGAGUGACGGUAAUGGGGAAAGAAGCACCGGCUAACUACGU